GACGAACGCUGGCGGCGUGCUUAACACAUGCAAGUCGAACGGAAAGGCCCUGCUUUUGUGGGGUGCUCGAGUGGCGAACGGGUGAGUAACACGUGAGUAACCUGCCCUUGACUUUGGGAUAACUUCAGGAAACUGGGGCUAAUACCGGAUAGGAGCUCAUGCUGCAUGGUGGGGGUUGGAAAGUUUCGGCGGGUGGGGAUGGACUCGCGGCUUAUCAGCUUGUUGGUGGGGGAGUGGCUUACCAAGGAUUUGACGGGUAGCCGGCCUGAGAGGGUGACCGGCCACAUUGGGACUGAGAUACGGCCCAGACUCCUACGGUAGGCAGCAGUGGGAAAUCUUGCACAGUGGGCGCAAGCCUGAUGCAGCAACGCCGCGUUCGUGAUGACGGCCUUCUGGUUGUAAACCGCUUUCGCCUGUGACGAAGCGUGAGUGACGGUAAUGGGUAAAGAAGCACCGGCUAACUACGUG
This 468-nucleotide ribosomal RNA is filed under the name uncultured bacterium. Its description in RNAcentral is "partial 16S ribosomal RNA". It matches the Rfam family "Bacterial small subunit ribosomal RNA", at positions 28 to 507 of the family's 1533-position model. The record is from RNAcentral.